UGCGUAGGCGGAAUGAUAAGUUAGUGGUGAAAGCCCCCGGCUCAACCGGGGAACUGCCAUUAAUACUGCCAUUCUUGAGUAUAGUUGAAGUGGGCGGAAUGUAUCAUGUAGCGGUGAAAUGCUUAGAUAUGAUACAGAACACCGAUAGCGUAGGCAGCUUGCUAAACUAUAACUGACGCUCAGGCACGAAAGCGUGGGGAGCAAACAGGAUUAGAUACCCUGGUAGUCC
This 229-nucleotide ribosomal RNA is filed under the name uncultured bacterium. Its description in RNAcentral is "partial 16S ribosomal RNA". It matches the Rfam family "Bacterial small subunit ribosomal RNA", at positions 568 to 796 of the family's 1533-position model. The record is from RNAcentral.